GCAGUUGAGCGCUGAGGUUGGUACUUGUACCGACUGGAUGAGCAGCGAACGCGAUUAAGACGCGUGGGGAAUCUGCCUUUGAGCGGGGGACAACCUUUGGAAACGAAUGCUAAUACCGCAUAAAAACUUUAAACACAAGUUUUAAGUUUGAAAGAUGCAAUUGCAUCACUCAAAGAUGAUCCCGCGUUGUAUUAGCUAGUUGGUGAGGUAAAAGCUCACCAAGGCGAUGAUACAUAGCCGACCUGAGAGGGUGAUCGGCCACAUUGGGACUGAGACACGGCCCAAACUCCUACGGGAGGCAGCAGUAGGGAAUCUUCGGCAAUGGACGAAAGUCUGACCGAGCAACGCCGCGUGAGUGAAGAAGGUUUUCGGAUCGUAAAACUCUGUUGGUAGAGAAGAACGUUGGUGAGAGUGGAAAGCUCAUCAAGUGACGGUAACUACCCAGAAAGGGACGGCUAACUACGUGCCAGCAGCCGCGGUAAUACGUAGGUCCCGAGCGUUGUCCGGAUUUAUUGGGCGUAAAGCGAGCGCAGGUGGUUUAUUAAGUCUGGUGUAAAAGGCAGUGGCUCAACCAUUGUAUGCAUUGGAAACUGGUAGACUUGAGUGCAGGAGAGGAGAGUGGAAUUCCAUGUGUAGCGGUGAAAUGCGUAGAUAUAUGGAGGAACACCGGUGGCGAAAGCGGCUCUCUGGCCUGUAACUGACACUGAGGCUCGAAAGCGUGGGGAGCAAACAGGAUUAGAUACCCUGGUAGUCCACGCCGU
Molecule: ribosomal RNA, 761 nt
Filed under: uncultured bacterium
Lineage: Bacteria
Description: bacterial SSU rRNA
Rfam family: Bacterial small subunit ribosomal RNA
Source: RNAcentral